RNAcentral lists this ribosomal RNA (508 nucleotides) under uncultured bacterium. RNAcentral describes it as "partial 16S ribosomal RNA". It matches the Rfam family "Bacterial small subunit ribosomal RNA", at positions 28 to 523 of the family's 1533-position model. The record is from RNAcentral.
GAUGAACGCUAGCUACAGGCUUAACACAUGCAAGUCGAGGGGAAACGACAUCGAAAGCUUGCUUUUGAUGGGCGUCGACCGGCGCACGGGUGAGUAACGCGUAUCCAACCUGCCCACCACUUGGGGAUAACCUUGCGAAAGUAAGACUAAUACCCAAUGAUAUCCCUAGAAGACAUCUGAAAGAGAUUAAAGAUUUAUCGGUGAUGGAUGGGGAUGCGUCUGAUUAGCUUGUUGGCGGGGUAACGGCCCACCAAGGCUACGAUCAAUAGGGGUUCUGAGAGGAAGGUCCCCCACAUUGGAACUGAGACACGGUCCAAACUCCUACGGGAGGCAGCAGUGAGGAAUAUUGGUCAAUGGGCGAGAGCCUGAACCAGCCAAGUAGCGUGCAGGAUGACGGCCCUAUGGGUUGUAAACUGCUUUUAUAAGGGAAUAAAGUGAGCCUCGUGAGGCUUUUUGCAUGUACCUUAUGAAUAAGGACCGGCUAAUUCCGUGCCAGCCGCCGCAGUAA